CAUGAAGCUAGAGUGGGCAUGGCCUGCGCAUGACGUAUCCAGCCUACAGGCCGCCAGUUUGACACCUCUGAUUUUACUGGGACUGUCAGCAAGCAAUGCAAAGAUUUGUGGCUAAGUGGUUUAGGCAUUUUGAGUGAAAGGACCAGCUUGUACUGUAUGUUUAAAAAAUAGUAAAAUGACAAGACUCCCCAGUACACAAUAAAGGCAAUCUUUGUCUUUAAUAACACACAAAUAAUGAAAGCAUUCAAUGAAAAUCUGGCAAUGUAAAACAUAAAAAUGAAGCCAGUUUAUUAAAUACUGUUCCGCUUGCUUCACUGCAGGUCUCUGUUCAGUGCAUUGGAAUGACAUCCCAAAGAGAAUAGUUGCAAAGAUAUAGUUCUACAAAUACAGGGAUAUUUGUGGAACAAGAAUUGAUUAAAAGGAAUUCACAUAUUACACUAAACAAGCCAUGGUUUAUUGGAAACAAAUGGCUAGGUUCUAACAGCAUGCCCUAAGACAUGAUUUACAAUAGAUAAUGCCUGUACUAACGUAAGCCAAAACCAAACAAACCACAUUCUGUCUUAGCACAAUAUGUUAACACAGCCUUAAAAUUAUGCUUGACUCAACUUGUUUGAGCAAAUAGGCUGUUCAACAAUACACAGAAAAGAAAGGUUUUACAUAAAACUUACGUUGAAGGAAGUUAUACAUUAAACCUGGACUAAAUCCACAAGUCUUACUGAGAGCACAGGACUAUCUUGGACACCUUCCCUUUUGUCCAGAUUAUCCCUUCUUUCUCCUUACCCUCACUGGGCAACUCUGUUACAUUCAUCUUUCUAACUGUCAAAAGACAAAUAAAUCAAGGCAGAAACAUGCCACUUGAUUCUGUACCUUUCCACUUCUAAUUACAGAUGACAUUUACUUGAUAAAGGCCAAUUCAAAAUAAGUUGUCUAUGUUGCAAAACAACAUUUAAUCUUGAAUAUUUUCACAUACACUGACAUCAUCAUGUGUAUGUAGGAGACACAAUAAGGACUCUGAGAGGAAAAAAUAAAAUGUGCUUGCCUACUUCUCUGCCAACAAUAUUAUUUUACCUUUUCAUACAAAAGCCUAUUUGGAACAUUUCCAUUUGGAAACAUCACUAUAAGCUUAAUCUUCCCUUUUUUAAAUCAUACCAGCUGCCUCGAUCUUCCUUAAGUCUAUUUUUCCAAGAUGAUCAAUAUACAACAAUAUUAACUACCUCCCUCUUUGUCCUAUAUCCUAUUUCCAAAUAGAACAUAUGGAGCAUACUCCUGUGAUCAAUGUUUAACCUGAAAAAUAACUUUCUAAUGUUAAACACUUGCUUUCUAAUGUCAAGGGGGUUAGGAUGACAGUACUGGAGAUUACUCAGGGAUGACAUUAAAAACACUCUGCCUGGGCCUUAGGUACUUUAUUCUAUGAGAAAUGCACAAAUUUGAAGUGACCCUGGCUAAACCUUGCUGCCAACUUCUCUUAGAACUGUGCUGCUUCAUGAUUCUCCUAAACCACCCUAGGAAAAUCACACCCACAACUACAACACACCUCCCACAAUUAAUCCUGGGUCUGUUUUCCCACGCAGGCAUGUUGACUUCUAUCAUUCUCAAACUAAGUUGUAGCAUUCCUCCAGCCAUGUAUAAAAAUUGCCACCUGUGAGGUGACACUCAGGAGAUGCCUUUGACAAUUGGGCACACAUGCCACCCAAGAGGAAUUCUUUUCUUUCUUUUAACCACUGACCUAGUCCCUAUGGACCAGGCGGCCCGUAUUCCACCAAACCCAGUUUACCAGGUCUAUAUGGCUCAUCCUCUAGGCGAGAUGCCCUCUUUUUCCUCAAAUUCCGGAGUCCAGUGUGAACGCCACGUAGUGGUCAUUUCGAUUUCCUUCGGCGCCGGAGAGUUAAAGAUCAAGAUUGUAUUUGCUUCUAGCUUCGCCGGCCCCGCACCGCCUCUAGGCCCUUGAAAACCUCGGCGUCCAUGCCAGCCUCCGGUGCCCACAAUGGAAUCCGAUACGCGCAGCUUUAGAGAAGCUUUUUUUCCCCCUCCCCCAGCUCCACCCUCACCUGAGCUUCCACCUUUCCCAGAGGGCUACCCGAUCCGGCUGCGAAUAAUGAAUCCCGAGGAUCACGUACAAGGCCAUCUUUCUGGUGGGGUACACAAGAAUAAGUCCAUGGAGUAAAAGUAGUCCUGAACUUAUAACCAUUCAUUUGGUGACUGAAGUUACACGGAAAUUGCAAAAAGUGACUUAUGACUGGUCCUUACACAAACAUCACAGUCUCCUCACAAUGGUGAUUAAAAUUAAGGUACUUGGCAACAGCUGAGUUUCAUGCUCCGCCUGCUAUACUCACUGGAGCUGCCUGAGUUGAUUAGCUGCAUGUUUGAAGCUCUGUUUCAGCUCUGAAGAGGCGCCUGCGAAUGAAGUAUGUGCGCAUGCGCAUGCUCACAACCAUCAAACCAGUUGUUAAGAUAAUUGUCUAGACCAAGAACCACAACUUCUCUGAACCUUUUCACCUGUAUUUUGUUCGACAGAAGACCCUUUUGAAUUGUUUGAGAGGAGCAGUCUUGGAUUAUGCUUCUACACCUAGUAAAAGUAAAAUUUUGCCAAUAUUUAAGCCCUGCUACCUGUAACGGAUAAACACCAAUCCCCCACAGCAACUCUCUGCCUACUCACCUAAUGAGCCCAUCCAGAUUAGGUGACCUCCCUGUAGGACAUAUAUGGAAUCCCCCUAACCAAGUUGCUCAGACCAAAGAAGCUACUUGGAUAAGCAGCAAAAUGCUUCGAGCCAACAAGAAAAGCAAUGCAGUUGCCAUAACUCAGCUGCCAGACAACUCUACCAGGAUGAGUGAGAAUCUUCACUGGUAUGUUGCCACACAUUUUGGGGAAGAAACCCUGAGGCAGGUGCUGGAAUAUGAAAAGACAGCAAAAAUGUGGCAGACUACAGGAAUCACCUAUGCUUCAAGUGCAGACAACAGAGUCUCAUCCCAAUGAAACUAUGGCUGCAAUCCACGGUCAAGGAUUGGUUACAGAGAAGACAAGAUCCUACAGAAAGCAGAAGGACAUUUCCUUGAUGAAAGGAUAAGACAGGUCUACUUCACCUUUGACAUCUUGCAACACAAAUGCUCUUUUUGCAGCAACUGCUCACUGAUUGACAUUUCCAUUGAGAUAUGGCUUCAAAAUCCUCUUCCUGUUUUGUCACAGCCAGUAAAUAUCCCAUCAAUGUAUAGGUGAAGUUUCCUUCCUUUGUACCAACAUGGAUCUCUUUACAUUUGUUUACAAUGAACUACUUGCAUUUGUCAUUCUAAAGUCUGUGCAUCCAUUUUGGACAGAUUUUUUAGAAUGCCUUUGCAAUCCCUUUUAAUUUUACUACCCUGAAGAUAUAGUAACAUCAGCAAAAAUGACGAGGGGUGGCUCAUGAGGUGGAGUGGGGUGCCGAUCGGCAGGCUUGCAUUCGAGACCCAUUGCUGCCACGGGGUGGGCAGGGUGAGCUCCCUUUACACGUUACAGCUUCUGCUGAUCCAGCAGUCGAGGUGGGCGAACAAGAGUAGAUAGACAGGUACCACUUUGGGGACCAACUUUAUGAGGACACGAAAGGAGCCCCCAACUGGGUGUCCACUGGGCAACAGUGAAGUCACCGGCAAAUCCUUCCACCACUGAAGUGCUUCCAACAUAGAAAUAGUAGUAGUAGCAAAGAUGACCAAACGUGACAUUAUGAAAAAGUAUGGUAUGGUAUUUGAAUGUAUAUCAUUAAUUGGUCAGAAUUGUCUAAUUAGGUGCGUGAUUACAAUAUUUGUUAUCUUAGGAAUUCUAAUUAAGAGAGGAAGAAAUUGAUUCUGAUUUAUGAGAUUGUGUUGGUUCUAAUAAACCUGCAUUAUAAUCCUAA
This is a long non-coding RNA of Thamnophis sirtalis, 3866 nucleotides long. RefSeq lists it as uncharacterized. Lineage: Eukaryota; Metazoa; Chordata; Lepidosauria; Squamata; Natricidae. The record is from RefSeq and is a predicted model, not a curated record.